CUCUUUGGACUUUAACUGACAAUGUGAAUGAUUUGGGGAUGUGGGGAAGAGGAUUCCUGAUAUGUCUGUAUAAAGCAGAGCAUAGGAACAGGGGACUAUAGCGAGAGCUAAAAGAGCUUUAAGAGACCACAUAGUCCAAACAGUCUAUUUUACAAAUGAGGGAAUUAAGUUCCAGGGAUACAUGACUUAUUCAAGGUCACAGAUGUGGGAUUUGAACUCAAGACUUCAGACUCUGAUGCCAAAUGCUCUCUAUACCAUUCUAGUGUCUUCAAACAAGAAAGAAAUGAUGUUAGUCCUGAAUGCACAGAAGAAAUUAGGGGAUGAGAUGAAUGGUCCUAAACUAUGUAAAAACCAAAGGCAGAUCCUUGAUGGCAGACCCCAGACAAAGCUACAACCUUGGAAGAACUCUGCAUCAGAAAUGACAGAACAGAAACAACUCAGCACCCCAAAGAAGGAAAGUGUCCAUC
RNAcentral lists this long non-coding RNA (467 nucleotides) under Monodelphis domestica (gray short-tailed opossum). RNAcentral describes it as "lncRNA (ENSMODG00000036056.2)". The record is from RNAcentral. Lineage: Eukaryota; Metazoa; Chordata; Mammalia; Didelphimorphia; Didelphidae.